GAGUUUGAUCAUGGCUCAGAUUGAACGCUGGCGGCAGGCCUAACACAUGCAAGUCGAGCGGAUGACAGGAGCUUGCUCCUGAAUUCAGCGGCGGACGGGUGAGUAAUGCCUAGGAAUCUGCCUGGUAGUGGGGGACAACGUUUCGAAAGGAACGCUAAUACCGCAUACGUCCUACGGGAGAAAGCAGGGGACCUUCGGGCCUUGCGCUAUCAGAUGAGCCUAGGUCGGAUUAGCUAGUUGGUGAGGUAAUGGCUCACCAAGGCGACGAUCCGUAACUGGUCUGAGAGGAUGAUCAGUCACACUGGAACUGAGACACGGUCCAGACUCCUACGGGAGGCAGCAGUGGGGAAUAUUGGACAAUGGGCGAAAGCCUGAUCCAGCCAUGCCGCGUGUGUGAAGAAGGUCUUCGGAUUGUAAAGCACUUUAAGUUGGGAGGAAGGGCAGUAACUUAAUACGUUGCUGUUUUGACGUUACCGACAGAAUAUAGCACCGGCUAACAC
This 500-nucleotide ribosomal RNA is filed under the name Pseudomonas sp. D4(2010). Its description in RNAcentral is "bacterial SSU rRNA". It matches the Rfam family "Bacterial small subunit ribosomal RNA", at positions 9 to 503 of the family's 1533-position model. The record is from RNAcentral. Lineage: Bacteria; Pseudomonadati; Pseudomonadota; Gammaproteobacteria; Pseudomonadales; Pseudomonadaceae.